UUCUUAAUGGGUAUAGAGUUCCUGCUUUGCAAGAUGAUGGAGAUGGAUGGUAAUGAUGGUUGCACAAUAUUAUGAAAAUAUUUAAUACCACUGAGGUGUUACAGUUAAAAACGGUUAAAAUGGUAAAUUUUACAUUAUAUGUAUUUUAUCACAAUAAAUAAAUGAAAAAAAAGGAAAAAGAGGACCCAGAGACCUAGGUACAAAGCAGGUUCUGACUUGGCAGAUGGGGUGGGGCCUGGGACUCUGCAUUUCCAAUAAGUUCCCCGGUGAUGUAUGUGCUGCUGGUCUGUGGACCACAAUUUGAGUAGAAGUGUCAUUGUCUCCCAUAAUGCUGGAUGGUGACAUGAACGAGAAAGGGAAUGGAAAGGAAUCAGGCUUGCUGAGUCAGGAGCAGGAUGGAAUGAGCAAGUUGACUCAGCUGCGCAGGGAGGGCCUCCCCCUCUAUCAUAGGGCCUGUUUCCUAUAGUGGGAACAGGCCUACUUAGACACAGGUGUGUGUGUCUGUAUAUUGUCAACACCUGCGGGCACCGGAUGCUUCAGUGUUUGCUCAAAGCCUCUGUUCUCAGAAAGUUCGUGCUGCAGGCUGCUGGUCAGAACGCCUCAGGAAGCAGGUCCUGUGAAAAAUUAAACCCAAUUUGCUUUCUCCAUAUUCCUGAGUUGAGGUGGACAUCCGAACUGAGGCAGUUUAUGGCAGCACAUGGUUAAGGAAGGGGAGAGCGUUGGCAGCUAAACAAAUGGCAGAAUAAUGAUUAAGUGGAGAAACAGCUGGGUGCUGUAACAUACAGAUGAGAACAAGCAAACAUUUAGAGAAUUGUGCAUGUUCCCUGCAAAAGUGGAGAGACUCAGGUCUGUGUCAAAGUGAUACUGCAAAAAUGAGAUAAAAAGUUCUCCUUCUGGUUGUUAAUUACCCUGCACAUUCCACAGAACUGAUGAAGUUUGCACAGAAUGGUCUGCAUAAAGCAGACGAGAUCCGUCUUUCAUCCCCUUAGAGCCCUGGGAUUUAUGGGAUCACAGAUAUCUAUACACACAUUCUGAUGCAGUGCUUGCCAGA
Long non-coding RNA from Mustela erminea (ermine), 1051 nucleotides. RefSeq lists it as uncharacterized. The record is from RefSeq and is a predicted model, not a curated record. The transcript has 4 exons. NCBI's taxonomy places the organism in Eukaryota, Metazoa, Chordata, Mammalia, Carnivora, Mustelidae.